This is a long non-coding RNA of Panicum virgatum (switchgrass), 901 nucleotides long. RefSeq lists it as uncharacterized. Lineage: Eukaryota; Viridiplantae; Streptophyta; Magnoliopsida; Poales; Poaceae. The transcript is spliced from 2 exons. The record is from RefSeq and is a predicted model, not a curated record.
UCCUCCGCUGCUCUCCACCACGCACAACUCCGGCAGCACCCCAACCCGCACACGACCUCUGCCUCCACCUCCGUCUGCACCCCCUGUCUCGCCUCCACCGCGCUCCUCCUGAGGGCCCCGCGGCGCGGCCGGAGGCGCUCAGCCCGGGAUUCCGAAAUCCCCGGCCUCCGCUUCAUCACUUCCAAAUCCCCGCCACCCGGGACUUCCUCACCUCCCUAGCUCCCUCCUCGACCCAACCCCCUCACGCCAUGGCAGCCAGGGUGCCCGGGAUUCCAAAUCCUGUGGCCGCCAUGGCCGCUCAGCCCGGAGCUCCACCUCACCGUCAACGGCCACCUUCCCAACCUCCUCUUCGCCGGUCUGCACCAGCCAUGCCUGAGCUCGGCGUAGCUCUGCUCUCUUCUUAUGGAGGUCUCGCGACAUGAGAGCCACUGCCGUUGGGUGCCGCCGUGCUACCGUCCAGGGUCGCCAUAGACAGGGAAGCUGAAUUCAGAUACAGACUCUGUUUGUGUUAGGACCCCUUUAGGGAUCAACCAGUCCUUGACGCCAAGCCCCUUUGUCUUUGGAGAGCGACUUGGAUGGUGAAGCAGAACAACAGCCCACAAGACCUUGAGCAGCAGCAACGCCCAAUCAAGGACGCUUGCUCCCUGUCUGCCUGCUCUCCUUCCGCUCUGCGCAUGGAAGAAUGGUUUCUCGUAAUCCAUUUCUUUCAUCUACCUACUUAAUGUGCCAUCUAGAUUAUAUGUAUGCAGAUUUGGUGUUGAUGGUUGCUCUAUGCAGCAAUGGACUUGUAAUGAACAAAUUGAUGUUGGAUAUAUGAUCUGUAUGUUGUUGUUGCUAAAUGAAAUUGAAUUGUGGCUGUCAAAACAUUGAUCUUGUUUAUAUUCUAUUGGUUAAUGUGCAA